GGCAGGAUGGCCGAGUGGUCUAAGGCGCACGGUUAAGGCGACAGCAUCCGUGUUCGAAAGAGCGAGGGUUCGAAUCCCUCUCCUGUCA
Molecule: transfer RNA, 88 nt
Organism: Wallemia ichthyophaga EXF-994
Lineage: Eukaryota; Fungi; Basidiomycota; Wallemiomycetes; Wallemiales; Wallemiaceae
Rfam family: tRNA
About the family: Transfer RNA (tRNA) molecules are approximately 80 nucleotides in length. Their secondary structure includes four short double-helical elements and three loops (D, anti-codon, and T loops). Further hydrogen bonds mediate the characteristic L-shaped molecular structure. tRNAs have two regions of fundamental functional importance: the anti-codon, which is responsible for specific mRNA codon recognition, and the 3' end, to which the tRNAs corresponding amino acid is attached (by aminoacyl-tRNA synthetases). tRNAs cope with the degeneracy of the genetic code in two manners: having more than one tRNA (with a specific anti-codon) for a particular amino acid; and 'wobble' base-pairing, i.e. permitting non-standard base-pairing at the 3rd anti-codon position.
Source: Rfam